RNAcentral lists this ribosomal RNA (483 nucleotides) under Triticum aestivum (bread wheat). Its description in RNAcentral is "partial small subunit ribosomal RNA". Lineage: Eukaryota; Viridiplantae; Streptophyta; Magnoliopsida; Poales; Poaceae. The record is from RNAcentral.
AUGCAUAGAAUUAUUUUUCCCAUGCAUGGAGACGUUGGACACCAUUCUCUUGGGGCUCCUGCCGGACGCUUGGGUCUUCGAGAUGAGGAUGGCCUCGGCUAUGACGCUGACCCCGGAGACGACGCCGGCGGCGUGGGCGUUGAUGUCAGGAAUGAACGGUCGGUGUUGAUACCGCGCCAUGGCGUGAAGACACAGUGGCCGCAAGCCCGCAACCCAAGAGCGACGUCGGCAUCAACAUCAACAGGAUGUCCUCCACCGUGGAUUACAUCAAACUUUGUUCGUCUCGGGGCUACUGUUGGAUGCCUUGGUCUUGGCGAUGAGCAGGGUCUCUGCUGGGACACCGGCCGCAUGGACGUGGAUGUCGAGGAGGGAGGGGUAGGUGUCCCAAGGCAUGAAGGCGCAGUGGCUGCAGUCCACGAGGGCCAUCGGCAGCAUCAGCAUGAUGUCCUCCACCAUGGAUUGCAUUGUACUAUUGUCAAGUGA